GCGGCGAUUUUCUCCCCGAGGGGUGAGCGGGCCGGGCCGCGCGGCAUAGCCGCGGCGCUCAGGCUGAAGGAGAAAAGGAGAAGGGUAAAGCCCAGCGCGGCGGCGGCCCACGUGCCGCCCACGACAGGCAGGGAACCGGGGAGGGAGCCGUACCUCCAAACAUGUGCGGCGAGAGGUGAGCUGGUAAGGAGCCGAUCACCAGGCGCGGCCCGCCGGGGCCCCCGCCCCCCGGCCCCCCCCCCCCGCCGGCCGGUCUCUGCCGCCGCCGCCGUCCUCCGGGCUGCUGUGCACCGAGUCCUGCGAGCCGUACGGGCCGCUGCUGCUGUUGGGGAUGCUGAACGAGGACUGAGCCGCUCGGGCCGCCGACGCCACGCUCCCUACGGCCCCGCCGAGGGAGCGACUGCGCGGGGCCGCCGAGGCCGCCGCGGCGCCGCCCGAGGCGCUGGGCUGGUNAGGGCGGUCGGCGCCCGGAGCGCUCUUGUGUUCGGGGUCGGCGGGCGAGACCGGCGGCCUGCGGGAGGUCGCGGGAAACGAGGAGAAGCGGAGAGGAAGGAGGUCGGGCUGCGGCGGACGCUGCUCGCUAGCUCCGGCGGGAGGGGCGGCUCAGGUGGCUGUGCAGCUCCCGCUGGUUUCGGUUCUGGUGCGCCGCGACGGAUCGCUGCCGCUCUCUGCCGCCGUCGCCGCUCUCUGCGCCCCGGGCCUCGGUACCGCCUCCUCCCGGGCGGCCGCAGCUACCGCCGCCAUCCUCCGGCUCACACGGCGGCCCGCGGGGCGCGCCCCCUCCCUCACCGCGGGGCCUAAGCCGAUUGGAGGGACGGAGCCCCUCGGGGCGCCAACCAGAAGGCGGCUCCUCCUCUCGCACGUGGCCCUGGGACCCUGAAUUAGACCGCGUCUCCAAACUUCACGUUCUCCCAGCUGGGGCUGGGAUUGACUCUGCUGUGGAUCCGGAGCCUCCAGUUUGGGCGGGUGUUAACCUCCUCGUUGGUGUUACUCAGAGUGUGUCUUUUAGAUAAAACAGACGUUCAGCAACGUUGAUGAUAAAAGACUAAGAACCGCAAAAACAUAAGAAAUAACCAAGAAGGCAGAAGUCAACUCCAUCUUAAUUAGAUUUACCCCGUAAAACUGACCGUGGAAGAAGCGCAGUUGGAAGAACUAAAGAUAAUCAAUCCAGCGUGACCAUCGGUUGUAAGGCAGAAACCGCGGUGCAGAAAAAGCUGCACCUGAUUUAGGAGAUCUGGGGUCUAGGUCUGGGAUCAGAACUAAAUUACGUGUCGUGAGCAAACUUGACCUUUUCGGACUUUAGUUUCCUGACCUGGGAUGUUUGUAUUAAAUCCCUGGGGCUCUGACGGCUUUGAAAUCCUGUAAUUUCUCUGGGGGCACCUGGCUGGCUCAGUCAGUAGAGCCUGAGACUCGAUAUUUGGGUUGGUAGAGAUUAAUGAAAUAAAUAAGCUUUAAAAAUAAUAAAAUCCUAUAAUUUCUCUAAAAUGGAAUUUAACAAAAUUCUCCUCAGUUCAUUUCUUUUUUUUUUUAAAGAUUUUUUAUUUAUUUAUAAGACAGAGAUAGAGACAGCCAGCGAGAGAGGGAACACAAGCAGGGGGAGUGGGAGAGGAAGAAGCAGGCUCAUAGCAGAGGAGCCUGACGUGGGGCUCGAUCCCAUAACGCCGGGAUCACGCCCUGAGCCGAAGGCAGACGCUUAACCGCUCUGCCACCCAGGCGCCCCUCCUCAGUUCAUUUCUAACUGUGAUGUAGUAUCUUGGUGGCAGAACAUGGUGUGGAUAUCCAUUUUGAAAAUGCAUGAAGUGUCCAUUAUGUGAAAAUAAUAGCAACUGGUAUUUUUGUACAAACUGCAAAAAUAAAUACCUUAUUGUUUUAACACAUUUGUAAUAUCAUUAAUGAUUUUCAUCAUUCAAGUAUGAGAAUUAAGUUUUCAAACAAGUGAAGAAUAUAUGUAUAGCUAUAGAUGUAUUGU
Molecule: long non-coding RNA, 1969 nt
Organism: Ailuropoda melanoleuca (giant panda)
Lineage: Eukaryota; Metazoa; Chordata; Mammalia; Carnivora; Ursidae
Source: Ensembl